Molecule: small RNA, 563 nt
Filed under: Pan troglodytes (chimpanzee)
Lineage: Eukaryota; Metazoa; Chordata; Mammalia; Primates; Hominidae
Description: retained intron
Source: RNAcentral
AUAGUUAGCUACUUUCAACUGGAAGCUACAACAUGGAUUUAUGGAAUCUGUCUUGGUUUCUGUUCUUGGAUGCUCUUCUUGUGAUUUCUGGCUUGCCAACUCCAGAAAACUUUGAUGUAGAUGGCGGAAUGGACCAGGACAUAUUUGAUAUCAAUGAAGGUUUGGGACUGGAUCUUUUUGAGGGUGACAUCAGACUUGAUAGGGCACAAAUUAGAAAUUCCAUCAUUGGAGAAAAGUAUAGAUGGCCUCAUACCAUUCCAUAUGUUCUAGAAGAUAGCUUGGAAAUGAAUGCUAAGGGAGUUAUCCUCAAUGCAUUUGAACGUUAUCGCCUUAAAACAUGUAUUGACUUUAAGCCUUGGGCUGGAGAAACAAACUAUAUAUCAGUGUUCAAGGGCAGUGGGUAAGUUGCAGACUUAGUCUUCUAAGGCAUCUAAGGAGAACUCUAGUGCCUGGGACAUUACAUUGCAGCAAUCAUCCUAGGCUCUGACCUUUAGGAAGGGGUGGGGACUUUCUUGCUAGUUGCUGGAGAGUAAAAAACAACUGGAUCUAGUUUUUGUAGACAU